UCCUCGGUGGCGCAAUUGGCUAGCGCGUCUGACUGUUAAUAAUCCAGGUUAUCAGCGGUUCAUCAGGAGGUUGAAAGUUCGAGCCUUUCCCGGGGAG
Non-coding RNA from Daldinia sp. FL1419, 97 nucleotides. The record is from the annotation of a GenBank genome assembly. Lineage: Eukaryota; Fungi; Ascomycota; Sordariomycetes; Xylariales; Hypoxylaceae.